ACGCUCGACACCUACGGGACAGCAGUGGGGAAUAUUGCACAAUGGGGGAAACCCUGAUGCAGCGACGCCGCGUGGAGGAAGAAGGUCUUCGGAUUGUAAACUCCUGUUGUUGGGGAAAAAGAGGAUGGUACCCAACAAGGAAGUGACGGCUAACUACGUGCCAGCAGCCGACGGUAAUCUGAGGCGGGCUGGCAAGGC
This 198-nucleotide ribosomal RNA is filed under the name uncultured bacterium. Its description in RNAcentral is "partial 16S ribosomal RNA". It matches the Rfam family "Bacterial small subunit ribosomal RNA", at positions 326 to 539 of the family's 1533-position model. The record is from RNAcentral.